This 446-nucleotide ribosomal RNA is filed under the name uncultured bacterium. RNAcentral describes it as "partial 16S ribosomal RNA". It matches the Rfam family "Bacterial small subunit ribosomal RNA", at positions 338 to 795 of the family's 1533-position model. The record is from RNAcentral.
CCUACGGGUGGCAGCAGUCGAGAAUCUUUCACAAUGGGCGAAACCCUGAUGGUGCGACGCCGCGUGGGGGAAUGAAGGUCUUCGGAUUGUAAACCCCUGUCAUGUGGGAGCAAAGUAAAAAGAUAGUACCACAAGAGGAAGAGACGGCUAACGCGGUGCCAGCAGCCGCGGUAAUACAGAGGUCUCAAGCGUUGUUCGGAAUCACUGGGCGUAAAGGGUGCGUAGGCUGUUUCGUAAGUCGUGUGUGAAAGGCGCGGGCUCAACCCGCGGACGGCACAUGAUACUGCGAGACUAGAGUGAGGGAGGAGGAACCGGAAUUCUCGGUGUAGCAGUGAAAUGCGUAGAUAUCGAGAGGAACACUCGUGGCGAAGGCGGGUUCCUGGACAUUAACUGACGCUGAGGCACGAAGGCCAGGGGAGCGAAAGGGAUUAGAUACCCGAGUAGUC